Molecule: long non-coding RNA, 528 nt
Filed under: Gossypium raimondii (Peruvian cotton)
Lineage: Eukaryota; Viridiplantae; Streptophyta; Magnoliopsida; Malvales; Malvaceae
Description: long non-coding RNA (GRAI_LNC006476)
Source: RNAcentral
GAAAAUAAGCCCAAGAAAAAUAGAUUUUAGAAUUAGGUAUUAAACAAAAUAUUUAGUGCAUAAUUUUUUAUUAUAUAAAAAAAUAAUGAACAUUAGAAAUGAAGAAGAAAAAAAUAAAGGAUCUCCACCGUUGGCAGUGGUGUUACGGUGGCGAUGGCGGUAAUCUGGCGAAGAAUAUGGGUUCGGUCACUCUCUUAAAAGAGGAUAAAUAAGAAGAGAAAAGAAAAUAAGAAAAAGGGAAAAGUUGCAUGGUGGUGCACGGUGGUUGCCAUGGUGGUGGAAGGCGGCGCUAGGGGCGGCAUUUUGAGAAAAAAGAGAGGGGAUAGGUGGCAAGGUGGUGGUUCGAUGGUGAGGUGAUGGUCGUGCAACGCUAGGAAUAGUGGGAGAAAAAUAAAAAGAAAGCAAAAAGGGAGGUUAAUAGCUAAUCAAAAUAGAAAAUAAAAAGGAAAUGGGGAGGAGAAAUGAGUGGUGCUGCAAUGAGGGGAGGAGAAUGAGAGGAUGGAUGGAAAAUGUGUGGUCAACCUUGUC